RNAcentral lists this ribosomal RNA (396 nucleotides) under uncultured bacterium. RNAcentral's name for it is "bacterial SSU rRNA". It matches the Rfam family "Bacterial small subunit ribosomal RNA", at positions 28 to 414 of the family's 1533-position model. The record is from RNAcentral.
GAUAAACGCUGGCGGCGCACAUAAGACAUGCAAGUCGAACGGACUUAAUCGAUUCUUUUAGAUUCGAAGCGGUUAGUGGCGGACUGGUGAGUAACACGUAAGCAACCUGCCUAUUAGAGGGGAAUAACAGUGAGAAAUCACUGCUAAAACCGCAUAUGCCGUGAACAUCGCAUGAUGAAAACGGGAAAAGAGCAAUCUGCUAAUAGAUGGGCUUGCGUCUGAUUAGCUAGUUGGUGUGGUAAAGGCAUACCAAGGCAACGAUCAGUAGCCGGACUGAGAGGUUGAACGGCCACAUUGGGACUGAGAUACGGCCCAGACUCCUACGGGAGGCAGCAGUCGGGAAUAUUGCGCAAUGGAGGAAACUCUGACGCAGUGACGCCGCGUAUGGGAAGAAGG